GAUGAACGCUGGCGGCGUGCCUAAUACAUGCAAGUCGAGCGAACAGACGAGGAGCUUGCUCCUCUGACGUUAGCGGCGGACGGGUGAGUAACACGUGGAUAACCUACCUAUAAGACUGGGAUAACUUCGGGAAACCGGAGCUAAUACCGGAUAAUAUAUUGAACCGCAUGGUUCAAUAGUGAAAGACGGUUUUGCUGUCACUUAUAGAUGGAUCCGCGCCGCAUUAGCUAGUUGGUAAGGUAACGGCUUACCAAGGCGACGAUGCGUAGCCGACCUGAGAGGGUGAUCGGCCACACUGGAACUGAGACACGGUCCAGACUCCUACGGGAGGCAGCAGUAGGGAAUCUUCCGCAAUGGGCGAAAGCCUGACGGAGCAACGCCGCGUGAGUGAUGCAGGUCUUCGGAUCGUAAAACUCUGUUAUUAGGGAAGAACAAAUGUGUAAGUAACUAUGCACGUCUUGACGGUACCUAAUCAGAAAGCCACGGCUAACUACGUG
RNAcentral lists this ribosomal RNA (497 nucleotides) under uncultured bacterium. RNAcentral describes it as "partial 16S ribosomal RNA". It matches the Rfam family "Bacterial small subunit ribosomal RNA", at positions 28 to 507 of the family's 1533-position model. The record is from RNAcentral.